Molecule: ribosomal RNA, 253 nt
Filed under: uncultured bacterium
Lineage: Bacteria
Description: partial 16S ribosomal RNA
Rfam family: Bacterial small subunit ribosomal RNA
Source: RNAcentral
UACGUAGGGCGCGAGCGUUGUCCGGAAUUAUUGGGCGUAAAGAGCGUGUAGGCGGCCAUACAGGUCAGCUGUGAAAACUCGAGGCUCAACCUCGAGACGUCGGUUGAAACCGUAUGGCUAGAGUCCGGAAGAGGAGAGUGGAAUUCCCGGUGUAGCGGUGAAAUGCGCAGAUAUCGGGAAGAACACCCGUGGCGAAGGCGGCUCUCUGGGACGGUACUGACGCUGAGACGCGAAAGCGUGGGGAGCAAACAGG